ACUGCAGGGUUGAGCCGAGAAAGACGUGUUGUGUGGAAGUUCUCUGGUUUUCGAAACGGUCAGCUGAGCAGAAGUCGGAAAGUAUGCAAAGGAAGCACCUGUUGUUGUGUUUCUUAGUAGUUGUGGACGCCGCCAUGAGAAAUACUCGUCGCCGAUCAUGCGAGGGACUGGAAACGCCAUGCCCGCCUAACCAACGACCUAAUUGUCUGAUAAAAAAUAACGGGGCUCGCUACUUCGAAUGCUCCUUGAAGGACAGACCUUGUGAAUACUCGUGGUCUAUUAUUUGCGCAAAUUUUAUUUCCAUAGUUUGCGCUACUAGCCGGACCUACUGUGAUUGCCGUUGUGAUGUUCCCUCCAGCAAUAAGCGAAAAUGUCAUCAGCGUCGAAAGCCAUCAUGAUAUCUAGGACCCUAUCAACGUCUCAAGAGCUCUUGCGUGGUGCCGCCUGCUCUUGGUGCGCUG
Molecule: long non-coding RNA, 461 nt
Organism: Dermacentor silvarum
Lineage: Eukaryota; Metazoa; Arthropoda; Arachnida; Ixodida; Ixodidae
Exons: 5
Source: RefSeq, a predicted model, not a curated record